Molecule: long non-coding RNA, 716 nt
Organism: Peromyscus eremicus (cactus mouse)
Lineage: Eukaryota; Metazoa; Chordata; Mammalia; Rodentia; Cricetidae
Exons: 5
Source: RefSeq, a predicted model, not a curated record
UGGGCAAACCCAUUCGGACCGCCCACUCUGGCCGAGGUGGUGCAUUGAGGCUGCGCACUGCUCAGGGUUUCUCUUUCCCGGUGCCCGGCUGUUGAGGCCCCGCCCAACCUGCUCUCGUAGUCUUAGCGUUGGCGCCACUAGGUGGCACUUGCCGGCGUCUACCGCUCAGCCUGCAGAACUGGCACGUGUCACAUUUCUGCUGUAAUGUGCUUUCAAAACCUCUAAGAAUGAAGGGCAUAAGGAGAGAUAAAGCAAGAGUUGGAAAUAUUGACUGGAACUUGCAGAUUUAACACAGAAGCUACAACUUUACAAACUAAUCCUAAGGGACCAGGCUGUCAGAGUUCUGACCAAAGCAGCAAGACGUCAAGACUUCAAGGAGUGUUCGUGUGGUGACAGCUGUGAACUGCCUGCCCUUGUGAGGCUUACAUUCUGAUAAGAAUGAUGGCCGUCGUGUUAGAAGAAUGGCAGCUGGGAGGAGAGCCUCAGCUGAGGGAAGGGACAGGGAAUCCUGAUUGAGGGAAAGGCUACAUCAUAAAUCGGAGCAUGACCUUCCUACAUACAGCUGAAUGUGGAGUCUGGAUCUUGUUGAAGCUGGCCUCUAAAGAAAGAAAUGAAAGGCUUGUACUAUGCACCUAUAUCAAGAAUGGAAUUAUGCGUUUUGGCCAGUUGUGGCUUCCUAUAAUGGUCUCCAUCUGCUGCAAAAAGAACUUCUUCGA